ACGUAGGGGGCGAGCGUUAAUCGGGAUUACUGGGUGUAAAGGGUGUGUAGGCGGACUUUCAAGUCGGGUGUCAAAGCCCUGUGCUCAACGCUGGGAGUGCGCGCGAUACUGACGGGCUUGAGGGCUGGAGAGGUGAGUGGAAUUCCCGGUGUAGUGGUAAAAUGCGUAGAGAUCUGGAGGAACUACAACGGCGCAGGCAGCUCACUAGGUAGUUUCCGACGCUAAGACACGAAAGCGUGUGGAGUAUACAG
RNAcentral lists this ribosomal RNA (251 nucleotides) under uncultured prokaryote. Its description in RNAcentral is "partial 16S rRNA". It matches the Rfam family "Bacterial small subunit ribosomal RNA", at positions 525 to 775 of the family's 1533-position model. The record is from RNAcentral.